CUAAAAUGACUCUCGGCAACGGAUAUCUAGGCUCUUGCAUCGAUGAAGAACGUAGCGAAAUGCGAUACUUGGUGUGAAUUGCAGAAUCCCGUGAACCAUCGAGUCUUUGAACGCAAGUUGCGCCCGAAGCCUUCUGGCCGAGGGCACGUCUGCCUGGG
This 158-nucleotide ribosomal RNA is filed under the name Hypericum choisyanum. Its description in RNAcentral is "5.8S ribosomal RNA". It matches the Rfam family "5.8S ribosomal RNA". From Rfam's summary of the family: 5.8S ribosomal RNA (5.8S rRNA) is a component of the large subunit of the eukaryotic ribosome. The record is from RNAcentral. Lineage: Eukaryota; Viridiplantae; Streptophyta; Magnoliopsida; Malpighiales; Hypericaceae.